RNAcentral lists this long non-coding RNA (236 nucleotides) under Homo sapiens (human). Its description in RNAcentral is "non-protein coding lnc-PTK2B-6:3". The record is from RNAcentral. Lineage: Eukaryota; Metazoa; Chordata; Mammalia; Primates; Hominidae.
CCCCGCUAUAAAGCUUCCCAUCAACCUUUCACCUAGUGCUUCAUCUAUUGGUGAUCAUGAACUGCUGCAAAAUGUCUGAUUGCAUUUUCCCUGUUGACACGUCCUUGAACAAGGACAAUUCUACAUGACCCUGGCAUUGCCACCUACUCAAACCUUUGAUCUGGAAUGCCACAAAUCUAAGAGAUCUUCUAUCCGGUGACAACAGCUCUUUGCAGACAUUGCAAAGUCCUUUUCUG